AGUGAACGCUGGCGGUAGGCCUAACACAUGCAAGUCGAACGGCAGCACAGUAAGAGCUUGCUCUUACGGGUGGCGAGUGGCGGACGGGUGAGGAAUACAUCGGAAUCUACUUUUUCGUGGAGGAUAACGUAGGGAAACUUACGCUAAUACCGCAUACGACCUACGGGUGAAAGCAGGGGAUCUUCGGACCUUGCGCGAUUGAAUGAGCCGAUGUCGGAUUAGCUAGUUGGCGGGGUAAAGGCCCACCAGGGCGACGAUCCGUAGCUGGUCUGAGAGGAUGGUCAGCCACACUGGAACUGAGACACGGUCCAGACUCCUACGGGAGGCAGCAGUGGGGAAUAUUGGACAAUGGGCGCAAGCCUGAUCCAGCCAUACCGCGUGGGUGAAGAAGGCCUUCGGGUUGUAAAGCCCUUUUGUUGGGAAAGAAAAGCAGCAGGUUAAUACCCCGCUGUUCUGACGGUAACCAAAGAAUAAGCACCGGCUAACUUCGUG
Molecule: ribosomal RNA, 492 nt
Filed under: uncultured bacterium
Lineage: Bacteria
Description: partial 16S ribosomal RNA
Rfam family: Bacterial small subunit ribosomal RNA
Source: RNAcentral